AAGCUUUGGACAGCCACCUCCACAAAACAGCCUUCUUCCUCAUCCUUUCUUCUUCAUUGCCGAAUUCUUUAUCUCAAGGUCCAUCCAUGGCCAUCCACCAUUAAGCUCAAAUCCACUUAUGUUCAAGCCAUGGUUUGCACAAGAGUUCUUCAUUAAAGUUAAAGUACACACCUUGGGCAGCAUACUAGGAGCAAUAAAGAUAAAUUUUGGUAGAGUUUUGAAGAAGUCCUAAAGAG
This 236-nucleotide unclassified non-coding RNA is filed under the name Hevea brasiliensis (rubber tree). Lineage: Eukaryota; Viridiplantae; Streptophyta; Magnoliopsida; Malpighiales; Euphorbiaceae. The record is from RNAcentral.